AACGCGGUGAAACCCCGUCUCUACUAAAAACACAACAAAAUUAGCCGGGCGUGUUGGCGGGCACCUAUAGUCCCAGCUACUCGGGAGGGUGAGGCAGAAUGGUGUAAACCCGGGAGGUGGAGCUUGCAAUGAGCCAGGCCACUGCACUCCAGGAUGGGUGACAGAGUGAGACUCUGUCUCAAAAAAUAAAUAAAUAAAUAAAAUAAAUUCAUAUACAGAAAUAAAUGUCUCAUCUGUGUUUGUCUAAUUCCGGGUAUCCCUGUAUACUUAUUGGCCAUGAGAGUGUGAGACUCUGUAGGGACUUGUGAGCCCACAAAUUCUUUUCUACAUAGAACAAGUACUAAGGAUGCCAUCUUAUAUAAGAGCCAACAUGUGCACACACUAGGUCCUGAAGAUUUGUAUCUUACAUUGCAGUCUGUGGCCAGUUACUUUGGGUUAGAACACCCCAGAUUUGAAUGAAGCGGAGCAUCCAGAUGGCUUCAAGGGUGGGUUUCAGGUACCUCUGCUCCUUGGUCACUGAGGGCUCCCACCAGAACAGUGUAGGCCAGUCUGUAAAUAGCCAUCCCCACUUUAGAAAGCACAUGCGCUGCACUAAACACUUAGGUAUCUCUGACUCACGCCCUGCUCGUACUGGGAGAGACUUUAGUUAAACCAAACUGUAAAUUUAACAACUGAGAAAAUGAAACCGUUAAAAGAUAAGCAACUUGCCCAAAGUCAUACCGCCAAUGAGAACAGCUAAGUCUCAAAAUCAUGUCUCCAGACUCCUAGGACAGUGCCCUUUAGAGCAUACUGUGACAUUCAGUCAUAUUCUUGGUGCCUGUACAGCUUUUAGUUCUUGAACUCCUGGCCUCAAGCAAUCCUCCUGCCUCAGCCUCCCAAAUGCUGGGAUUAUAGGCGUGAGCCACCACAUCUGGCCCUAUAUUAUUAUUUACAUCUUUUUGUACGUUAGAGGUAUUUCCUAAUAAAUUAAAAUAAAUUCGUAUACAGAAAUAUUAAUAAAUAUGUCACCUGUCCUUAGUUCAUUAGAUUAUAUGAUGAUUCUUCAAGUUAUAUGAUCUCAUGCCCUGUCUGAUUCCAUUUGGGGAAUACGCAUUCCUCCCCGACCUUAAAUCCAGCUCUCUUCUCCACUGAGAAUUCUCUCCCUCCCAUCUGUGGCUGAGAUUAAAGAUCUGCACCUGAAGCACUGAAGAAUGUGUGGGUAAUUAAAUUACCCUGCCGAUUCCUGGAGAUGCUGAUUACCUGGAGAUGACCUCAGAGAUUAUCCUAAAUUAACUCCUACAAGAUACAUAUUGCAGCGGGAGGUGAGGUAGGGGAAGGAUUGUGCACCUGAGGCUAGCAAAGGUUUCCACUCUGUUUAGAGAUGAUGUCACCAGUGCGUUUACAUUUGCGUUGUGUUCACACAUUGAGUGCUACUAUGUACAAGACCAUGUGUCAGACACUGAGGUAACAGGUAUAGCUACUAGAUAGAGUUCAUAGCUAUGGAGGCAAGCAGAUUCACUGACUGCUAAUUCUAACAUGAUGUGACAGUGCAACUAGAAAAACAUAAACAAGCACUAUGUGAGCACAAAGAAGGUGCACAUCAACUCCUUACAGGUACCUGUAAAAGCCAAAGGGUAACAGUUGGAUUGCACCUUGAAGAGGAUGCACUUUUUUUUUUUUUUAAGACAGAAUCUCAC
RNAcentral lists this long non-coding RNA (1676 nucleotides) under Homo sapiens (human). RNAcentral's name for it is "HSALNT0104558". Lineage: Eukaryota; Metazoa; Chordata; Mammalia; Primates; Hominidae. The record is from RNAcentral.